This is a long non-coding RNA of Rhinolophus ferrumequinum (greater horseshoe bat), 1349 nucleotides long. RefSeq lists it as uncharacterized. The transcript has 2 exons. The record is from RefSeq and is a predicted model, not a curated record. Lineage: Eukaryota; Metazoa; Chordata; Mammalia; Chiroptera; Rhinolophidae.
CUCAUUCUCUCCAAGCCUCUCCCUCUCCCCUCUGAGCUCUGCCCCUCUCAGAGCCCCUCUCUCCACUGGUCCCUACCCUCUCGUAAGUCCCUGUCCUCUCAGACUCCUCUGAGUAGGGGGGGAAGGGGUAAUUCAUUUUUUGAUUCAGAAUCAACAGGGUCUCAUAAUCUUGCUGACUUCCCUCCUGACUACCUAUUCACCAAAUGAGUAAUAAAGAGAAGGAAGAAGAGACUGUGAGAAAGGAGGAAAAGGAAGAAGAGGGUGACUGGGGGCUGGAGCUGGAGGAGAAAGAGGAGCCUCCAAACCAUGCAAGAAAGAUGAGCUCCUCAUGAGGGCUUCCCGCUCACCUCCUCCAGGCAGCACCCAGGAUGCACCAAUACCUGCUCUGCACCCUAGAUGCAAAGACCUGGUCCUGGGGCGUGAAAUGACUCCACCAGGGUGGAGUGUCCCUGAACGAAGAAGGCCCAGGACAAACCCCAAGUCCCUCCUAGAGGGCUGUUUGCAUGUUUCCUAGGCAUUACACACCCCCUUCCAAAGCUUGGUCUCCAUCUGGUAAUUCUCAAGCUCAGCGGGCAGGCACCCCUGGAUGAGGAGCUCAUCACAUCCCCGACACCCCCACCAUCUCAUAUCUCUACCCAAUCUGCGCUGCAGCCAUCUUCUUAACCCACUGCCUGAUUUCUUUUCCCACCUUUCUGCUGCCCUUUGGGAUUCACCAUAGAAUCCAGCUCUUCUCCUGCUCUCCUACCUCCAAAAUCUUUCAAGGUCCUGCUCCAACGAGUCCAUAGGCCAGCCCCUUUCCUGGCCUCGGUAUGUGUCUCUGUCACAUGGGAGCUGGGGGAAUCCCCACCACAUCUUGCUCAAGCCCCCUUUUCACAGGCAAGAGGGAAGGUGGGGAGAAACCGUGCAAACAGUCCUGCCAGUCUGCAGGGCCCGGGGCAGAGCCAACACUCCUCGUGCAACCUCCCUUUUGCUGCUCCUGAACUUGAACUUUGAGCAGGCUCAGCACCACGCUGUUCCCUGGGAGAUGAGGGCCCCUCCCACUGUAUGCUGAGUUUCAGGGCCCUGUCCUGGACGUUAUAACACUCAGGAGCUGGAUGUGGGGUGCACAGCAUCAUCACCCCACUCUUCCUGUCCUGCAUGCCUGGUGGUGGCUCCGCAGAGAACGAGUUGGAAUCCCAACUUUCUUGCUGUGUGGCCUGGGACAAGUAACUUAACCUCUCUGUGCCUGUGUCUUGUUCUGUAAAAAGGGAAGAAAAUAACUAUUCUUUCAGAAGUCUUCAUGAGGAUUAAAUGCAAUGAUGUCUACAAAAAUCCUGAGCACAGAACCCAAAAAGCAUUAAUAAAUGUCA